GACUCCUACGGGAGGCAGCAGUGGGGAAUCUUGCACAAUGGGGGCAACUCCUGAUCCAGCCACGCCGCGUGAGUGAAGAAGGCCUUCGGGUUGUAAAGCUCUGUCGGCCGGGAAGAACUAGUAGGGUUAAUCUCCCUGCGCGCCAGACGGUACCGGCCUAGAAGCCCGGCAAUC
RNAcentral lists this ribosomal RNA (174 nucleotides) under uncultured beta proteobacterium. Its description in RNAcentral is "partial 16S ribosomal RNA". It matches the Rfam family "Bacterial small subunit ribosomal RNA", at positions 334 to 501 of the family's 1533-position model. Lineage: Bacteria; Pseudomonadati; Pseudomonadota; Betaproteobacteria. The record is from RNAcentral.